UGUUAUGCCACUGUGCUAUUGUGUUGUUGUACUAUUGUGUUGUUGUGCACUCCAAUAGGAACUGGUAAGGGCAAGGAAGAGGUCUAUCAACCAUGAGUUAGAGGGCAUGGAUCGGUGUGUACAUGUUUGGCCUACCUGGAUGCCACGACUGCAGUUAUUUUGAGGAACACGUGAUAAACGUUUGAUUUUGUCACUUACGUUGACUGUACUAUACCUUUGGAUUGUAAAUGCAUUUCAAUACAAUAUUUUG
Molecule: long non-coding RNA, 250 nt
Organism: Humulus lupulus (European hop)
Lineage: Eukaryota; Viridiplantae; Streptophyta; Magnoliopsida; Rosales; Cannabaceae
Exons: 2
Source: RefSeq, a predicted model, not a curated record